RNAcentral lists this microRNA (22 nucleotides) under Hydra vulgaris (swiftwater hydra). RNAcentral's name for it is "hma-miR-3010". Lineage: Eukaryota; Metazoa; Cnidaria; Hydrozoa; Anthoathecata; Hydridae. The record is from miRBase by way of RNAcentral.
UGAGAGCGCAAAAAUAAAUUUG